UCGACAGGACUGCAGUGAUCCACGCUGUCUUGGUGAUGUGGGGCACAGAACAACAGAGCUGGAAUAAAUAUGGAGUGAUGAUAAAUAUGAGACCAUUACACCGGGCAAGCAUUGCCCUACGGAUGACGGGGGCAGUGAGCAAAGCCCCCAGAUCCAUCAGAAUGGCUUUACGGCGUAUUCAUAUGCAGAAUAAUUCUUCAGACAGUUUGUCACAAUUCUUCAAAUCAAUAUGAGUAUGAUCUGCAUUACUCCACUCAGCAAGGCAACCGUCUUGUGCAGUUCAAAUCCUGAACAGAAAUGGGAAAAACAAAUAAACGAAGGUCUUACGGGUUCGGAACGACAUGAGGGCAUGAAAUGAUCAUUGGCCUGAGGAACUAGCCUGUUACUGAAGUAAACAAACAGCUCACAAAAUCCUCCAUAAUGCUCGACUUUUGGGCUUUAAAGGGCUCCAAAGUUUCAAAGCCAAGGUGACCUUUGCUGGAGUCUUGACAUGGCGUCGUUACCUGAAUUUAUCGGCUGUCAUUAAUGGAUUGGGAGAGCUUACAGAACAUAUUUAUGCAUUCACAUAAGCCUAAUUUAUCACUGUGCCUUCCUUUUCUCUGUCUCUCAUUCCCCCUCUCGGGACGUGGAUCACCUCUUUCUAUAAACACUCGUUCUAUAGCAAUUAUCCAUCAUGUCAGAGGAUGAACUUCAAACACAAGCUGCACCACACACACACACACUGGGUGAUUUGCUGAUGCAGUCUUUGUGCCAGGUAAAGGUAAAGCCAAGGUAAUUGAAUUUGUUUGCAAUGACCUAGUGCAAUGCAAAAAACAUGGUAUGGCAUAAGUAAUGACUGUAGAUCAAAGAAAGCAUAUCAUUCAUGGAGCAUGCAUUUUUAGGCUGGCGUAGUGUAAUGCUAAUGUUUUUAGUGUUCAUUUUUUUCAGGUAAUUUAUAAGAUUUGACACCUACUUGCCAUUUAAAACAGCUCAAAGAAUUUAUUAGUGUCAUUGCAAAUGUUAAGUGUGAAUACAUUUCCUUAAUUAUCAGUCUGCAUUUAACUGACAUUUGCUUGUGAAA
Long non-coding RNA from Labeo rohita (rohu), 1060 nucleotides. RefSeq lists it as uncharacterized. The record is from RefSeq and is a predicted model, not a curated record. The transcript has 3 exons. NCBI's taxonomy places the organism in Eukaryota, Metazoa, Chordata, Actinopteri, Cypriniformes, Cyprinidae.